GAGGUCCUACGGGGCGCAGCAGUGAGGAAUAUUGGACAAUGGGCGGGAGCCUGAACCAGCCAAGUCGCGUGAGGGAAGACGGUCCUAUGGAUUGUAAACCUCUUUUGUCGGGGAGCAAAGAGAUCACGUGUGGUCAAAAGCGAGAGUACCCGAAGAAAAAGCAUCAGCUAACUCCGUGCCAGCAGCCGCGGUAAUACGGAGGAUGCGAGCGUUAUCCGGAUUUAUUGGGUUUAAAGGGUGCGUAGGCGGGACGGUAAGUCAGCGGUAAAAAUGCGGAGUUCAACUCCGUCGAGCCGUUGAAACUG
RNAcentral lists this ribosomal RNA (305 nucleotides) under uncultured bacterium. Its description in RNAcentral is "bacterial SSU rRNA". It matches the Rfam family "Bacterial small subunit ribosomal RNA", at positions 333 to 635 of the family's 1533-position model. The record is from RNAcentral.